CCCUUAGAUGUUCUGGGCUGCACGCGCGCUACACUGACGCACGCAACAGGUGCCUGCUCCGAGAGGACUGGGUAAUCAUUUGAGUGUGCGUCGUGAUGGGGAUAGAAUAUUGUAAUUAUUACUCGUCAACGAGGAAUUCCUAGUAAGCGCCAGUCAGCAGCUUGCGCUGAUUACGUCCCUGCCCUUUGUACACACCGCCCGUCGCUCCUACCGAUGGGUGAUCCGGUGAAUGAUUCGGACUUCAGCGGCUCCCCUGGGGUGCGCCGGAGAAAGUUUUGUGAACCUUAUCACUUGGAGGAAGGAGAAGUCGUAACA
Molecule: ribosomal RNA, 315 nt
Filed under: uncultured eukaryote
Lineage: Eukaryota
Description: partial 18S ribosomal RNA
Rfam family: Eukaryotic small subunit ribosomal RNA
Source: RNAcentral